AAACAAACUGACGUAGUUGUCAUGGAUUUUUCAAAAGCGUUUGAUAAGGUGGACCACCAAAGACUUAUCCUAAAACUGAAACGCAUGGGAAUAAAUAUAACAAAACAACAAAUUGGAUAGAGGCAUGGUUAUCACAUAGAUCCCAAAAAGUGGUGGUUGACAGUCGCACAUCAAAUAGUUGUCCUGUAUUGUCAGGCGUCCCCCAAGGCUCUGUUCUCGGGCCAUGUCUGUUCUUAAUUUACAUCAAUGACAUGCCAGACAACCUCAAAAGUAAUGUUCGCCUCUUUGCAGAUGACACUAUUGUGUAUCUAACAAUUUCAUCAUUAGAUGACUGUCACACCCUUCAAUCAGACCUACAUAAACUGGAACAAUGGGAGCAAGAAUGGCUUAUGUCCUUUAACCCAGACAAAUGUGAAAUCAUCCACAUAACAAGAAAACAUAAACCUAUCAUCUAUAAACUACCAUUACAUAAUCAUAUUCUAAAAUCAACAAACAAAGCAAAAUAUCUUGGCGUUUCCAUCACAAAAGACCUGACAUGGAACUCUCAUAUAAAUGACAUCACAAACAAAGCAAACGCAUCACUGAGAUUUAUUAAAAGAAAUGUAAAAACAAACAGCAUAAAAACAAAAGAACUGGCUUACAAAACAUACGUAAGACCAAAAAUAGAAUACUGUAGUGUCGUCUGGGACCCGUGGCAGAAACAACAAAUACAUAAAAUUGAAAUGGUACAGAGAAGAGCUGCCAGGUAUACACUCAACCAAUACAGCUAUCAAAGCAGUGUAACAGCCAUGCUUGAACAUCUAAGAUGGCCAACAUUACAACAAAGAAGAAAUCUUGCAUCCGUCACCAUGCUAUAUAAAAUCCAACA
RNAcentral lists this long non-coding RNA (868 nucleotides) under Mytilus galloprovincialis (Mediterranean mussel). Lineage: Eukaryota; Metazoa; Mollusca; Bivalvia; Mytilida; Mytilidae. The record is from RNAcentral.